This 73-nucleotide transfer RNA is filed under the name Gadiculus argenteus (silvery cod). Its description in RNAcentral is "tRNA-Asn". Lineage: Eukaryota; Metazoa; Chordata; Actinopteri; Gadiformes; Gadidae. RNAcentral also lists the same sequence under 1 other name. The record is from RNAcentral.
UAGAUAGAUGCUCGCUGGUUUGAGUGCUUAGCUGUUAACUAAGAAUUGAAAGGAUCGAGGCCUUUCUAUCUAG